Non-coding RNA from Myodes glareolus (Bank vole), 326 nucleotides. NCBI's taxonomy places the organism in Eukaryota, Metazoa, Chordata, Mammalia, Rodentia, Cricetidae. The record is from RefSeq and is a predicted model, not a curated record.
GGGACACUUUGCUCUGAAAGGGACCUGAGCAUCCAAAGCCACCGUUCACUUCCACCCUGGCUUUGUCUCAGAACAGGAAAGAAGAGGCCCGGCCCUGCUGUGCCACUGCAGGCUCCUUGUGUGGAGGGAAACAGCUCCAUCGGAGAACACUGCCUGGACCUCCGCCUGCCCAGGUGAUGAAGGAACAACAGUAGCCUUGGCAACCAACCCACUCUUGUGUCACUGCCUGCAUCCAGCUUGCCCUUCCAUCACCAUCUUACAUGACCCCAGGGGACAUCACUAUGACCUCACCUCUCCCCUUGGUUGGCAAGAAUAUCUUGAUACAA